AUGCGGACGGGGAGGGAGUUUUUGCACGCCGGGACGCGGGCUUCGCCUCACCGUGACAAAGUAGGUGGUAUCGAUGCGUGGGGCAACGGAGUCGUCGUCACCGUCUCCUCCGAGCCCCCCGGUCCCCCCAGCCUCUUCCCGCUGGCCCCCUGCGGCACCCCCGCCACCCAGGAGCUCUACGCGGUGGGCUGCCUGGCCGUGGCCUUCCUCCCCGACGACCUCGCCUUCGCCUGGAGCGACCGCGCCAACCGCACCGUGACCCGAGGGGUGACCGCCUUCCCCUCCGUCCCCGCCGCCGGCGGCCGCUACGCGGCCGCCGCCGCCCUCAGCCUCCCCUUCGCCGACGGGAAGGGCCAGCAGCCCUUCUACUGCCACGCCACCCACCCCCAGGGAAAGUCCGUCGUCAAGGUGGUCAACCCAAGCACCACCGUCCCGCCGCUCCCCGACGUCCCCGUCGUCACCCUCCACCCGCCGUCCCGCGAGGACUUCGACGGCCCUUACCGCAACGCCAGCGUCCUCUGCCGCGUCCGCUCCCGCCGCCCGCCGCCCCAAAUCCGCUGGCUGAAAAACGGGGCGCCCUCCCAAGACGGCGUCGCCACCGAACCUUCGGCUGCCGACGCCGGCGGCGCGGCCGUCACCGACAGCCGGCUCACCGUCACCGAAGCCGAGUGGGACGCCGGUGUCGUCUACACCUGCCAAGUGGGCGAGGAGUUGAGGAACACCAGCAAGGCCUUGGAGUGCGGUUACCUCCCCUUGCCCGUCACCGACGAGAUCGCGGUGGAGGCGGUGGCCCCCGCCUUCGCCGACGUCUUCAAGGAGAAGGCGGCCAAGCUGACGUGCAAGGUGGCCAACCUGCCGAGCGCGGAAGGGCUGGCGGUGUCGUGGUGGAAGGAGAACGGCGAGAAGCUGGAGACCAAGACCUCCCCCCAACUCCUCCAACCCAACGGGCUCUUCGGCGUGGCCGGCGUGGCCAGCGUCUGCGCCGACGAGUGGGACAAGGGCGAGGUCUACACGUGCAAGGUCAGCCACCCCGAGCUCCUCUUCCCCACCGAGGUGAAGCUGCAGAAGGCCGUGGGCCGCGACGCCCGAGCCCCCUCCGUCUACGUCUUCCCCCCUCCGCCCGAACAACUCGCCCUCCACAAAACCGCCACCCUCACCUGCCUGGUGAAGGGCUUCAACCCUCCCGACCUCUUCGUCCGCUGGCUCCGCAACGGCGAACCCUUGCCCCCCGCCGACUACGUCACCGCGCCGCCCCUCGCCGACUCCCAGCCGCCCGCCGCCUUCUUCACCUACAGCUCCCUGACCGUCAGCGGCGAGGACUGGGGGGCCGGCAACGUCUUCACCUGCCUGGUGGGCCACGAGCAAAUCCCCUUGCAGGUGGCGCAGAAAUCCGUGGACAAAGCUUCGGGUAAACCCACCGCCGUCAACGUGUCCCUGGUGCUCUCCGACACCGCCGCCGCCUGCUAUUAAAUCCCCUUCCCUCGGCUCUUGGGGUCUUUUGCUUCUUUAUUGUCGGGGUUUCCCCCCUUUUUUCCCCCCCUUUUGGUUUAUUUGGGUUUAUUUUGGGGGGUUUUGGGUUUAUUUGGGUUUAUUUUAGUUUA
This is a non-coding RNA of Gymnogyps californianus (California condor), 1601 nucleotides long. The record is from the annotation of a RefSeq genome assembly. Lineage: Eukaryota; Metazoa; Chordata; Aves; Accipitriformes; Cathartidae.